This 498-nucleotide ribosomal RNA is filed under the name uncultured bacterium. Its description in RNAcentral is "bacterial SSU rRNA". It matches the Rfam family "Bacterial small subunit ribosomal RNA", at positions 28 to 513 of the family's 1533-position model. The record is from RNAcentral.
AACGAACGCUGGCGGCGUGCUUAACACAUGCAAGUCGAACGUGAAAGGCUUCGGCCGAGUAAAGUGGCGCACGGGUGAGUAACGCGUGGGUAAUCUGCCCUUGGGCGGGGGAUAACCUCUCGAAAGGGGGGCUAAUACCGCAUGAGACCACGGCUUCUCGGGGCUGUGGGAAAAGGUGGGUCGCAAGGCCUGCCACCUGAGGAUGAGCCCGCGUACCAUUAGGUUGUUGGUGGGGUAAUGGCCUACCAAGCCGAAGAUGGUUAGCUGGUCUGAGAGGACGAUCAGCCACACUGGGACUGAGACACGGCCCAGACUCCUACGGGAGGCAGCAGUGGGGAAUAUUGCGCAAUGGGGGAAACCCUGACGCAGCAACGCCGCGUGUGUGAAGAAGGCCUUCGGGUCGUAAAGACACUGUUGGAGGAACGAGCCGCUCGUGGGGAAGUAUCUGCGAGCCCGACGGUACCUCCUGAGGAAGCACCGGCUAACUCCGUGCCAGCA